RNAcentral lists this ribosomal RNA (394 nucleotides) under uncultured bacterium. Its description in RNAcentral is "bacterial SSU rRNA". It matches the Rfam family "Bacterial small subunit ribosomal RNA", at positions 30 to 419 of the family's 1533-position model. The record is from RNAcentral.
AUUGAACGCUGGCGGCAUGCCUUACACAUGCAAGUCGAACGGCAGCGACCGGGAGCGAACUCCUGGUUGGCGAGUGGCGAACGGGUGAGUAAAGUAUCGGAACGUACCUUUCAGUGGGGGAUAACGUAGCGAAAGUUACGCUAAUACCGCAUAUUCUGUGAGCAGGAAAGCAGGGGAUCGCAAGACCUUGCGCUGAUUGAGCGGCCGAUAUCAGAUUAGCUAGUUGGUGGGGUAAAGGCCUACCAAGGCGACGAUCUGUAGCGGGUCUGAGAGGAUGAUCCGCCACACUGGAACUGAGACACGGUCCAGACUCCUACGGGAGGCAGCAGUGGGGAAUUUUGGACAAUGGGCGAAAGCCUGAUCCAGCCAUGCCGCGUGAGUGAAGAAGGCCUGG